Molecule: ribosomal RNA, 714 nt
Filed under: Anzomyia pegasus
Lineage: Eukaryota; Metazoa; Arthropoda; Insecta; Diptera; Tabanidae
Description: eukaryotic LSU rRNA
Rfam family: Eukaryotic large subunit ribosomal RNA
Source: RNAcentral
AUGCCUCGUCAUCUAAUUAGUGACGCGCAUGAAUGGAUUAACGAGAUUCCUACUGUCCCUAUCUACUAUCUAGCGAAACCACAGCCAAGGGAACGGGCUUGGAAUAAUUAGCGGGGAAAGAAGACCCUGUUGAGCUUGACUCUAGUCUGGCAGUGUAAGGAGACAUAAGAGGUGUAGCAUAAGUGGGAGAUAUAUUAGUUUCGGCUAUAUAUAUCAAAAAUGAAAUACCACUACUCUUAUUGUUUCCUUACUUACUUGAUAAAAUGGAACGUGUAUCAUUCACUUAGCUAUUACACGGAUAUAUUUAUAUAUUUUAUGGUAUUUUGUUUUGAUGCGAGCUUCUUGUUUAAAGUAUCAAGAGUUUGUUAUAUACACCAAACAAAUUACAAUUAAAUUUACUUUCCAUUAAUAAUGGUUUGUUAAAUAUUAUUUGAAUUUGGUAUAACUAUUAUACUCAGGUAUGAUCCAAUUCAAGGACAUUGCCAGGUGGGGAGUUUGACUGGGGCGGUACAUCUCUCAAAUAAUAACGGAGGUGUCCCAAGGCCAGCUCAGUGCGGACAGAAACCACACAUAGAGCAAAAGGGCAAAUGCUGACUUGAUCUCGGUGUUCAGUACAUACAGAGACAGCAAAAGCUCGGCCUAUCGAUCCUUUUGGUUUAAAGAGUUUUUAACAAGAGGUGUCAGAAAAGUUACCACAGGGAUAACUGGCUUGUG